AGCGCGGAGCACGAGGAAUUCUGCGUGAAUCUGCCGGGACCAUCCGGUAAGGCUAAAUACUCCCGAGAGACCGAUAGUGAACCAGUACUGUGAAGGAAAGGUGAAAAGCACUUCGAACAGAAGAGUGAAAUAGUCCCUGAAACCAUGCGCCUACAAGCAGUCGGAGCCGCUUCGUGCGGUGACGGCGUGCCUUUUGCAUAAUGAGCCUACGAGUUACUCAUCACCAGCGAGGUUAAGUACUUCAGGUACGUAAGCCGAAGCGAAAGCGAGUCUGAAUAGGGCGUCAAGUUGGUGGUGGUAGACGCGAAACCUUAGUGAUCUACCCAUGGGCAGGGUGAAGGUUUGGUAACACAAACUGGAGGCCCGAACCGGUAAACGUUGAAAAGUUUUCGGAUGACCUGUGGGUAGGGGUGAAAGGCCAAUCAAACUGGGAAAUAGCUCGUACUCUCCGAAAUGCAUUUCGGUGCAGCCUGUGAUGUUCUGUUCCAGAGGUAGAGCUACUGGUUGGACGCGAGGGCUUCACCGCCUAUCAAAUCCGGAUAAACUCCGAAUGCUGGAACACGAAAUCAUGGAGUGAGCCCGCGGGUGCUAAGGUCCGCGGACGAGAGGGAAAGAACCCGGACCACCGGCUAAGGUCCCGGAUGGACAGUUAAGUUGAUCAAACGAGGUGGGAUCGCUGAGACAGCUAGGAUGUUGGCUUGGAAGCAGCCAUUCAUUUAAAGAGUGCGUAACAGCUCACUAGUCGAGCGAUCCCGCGUGGAUAAUACACGGGCAUCAAACUGUCAACCGAAGCCGUGGGGUCAGCGAAAAGCUGACCGGUAGGAGAGCAUUCCUGCCAGCGUUGAAGGUCACCCGCGAGAGUGACUGGAGCGGCAUGAAAAGCAAAUGUAGGCAUAAGUAACGAUAAUGCGGGUGAGAACCCCGCACGCCGAAAGAUCAAGGAUUCCCCGGCAAUGUCAAUCAUCCGGGGGUAAGUCGGAUCCUAAGGGUAAGCCGAGUGGCGAUCCCGAUGGCAAACAGGUUAAUAUUCCUGUACUGAUCAUAACUGCGAUGCAGCGACGCAGAGGUGACACUGCUGCGUACUGACGGAAUAGUACGUUGAAACCCGUAUUCUUUGAUACCGGUAGUGAAGCACGCCGGUAGAGAUGAAAGGUGAUAGUACCGCAAUGCUUCGGUUGCGCGGAUAACGCAGGUAAGCUGACUGCCAAGAAAACCUGCUAAGCUUCAGGUAAUGAUCAUCCGUACUGUAAACGGACACACGUGAUCAGGUAGAAAAUACUAAGGCGCUCGAGAGAUUCAUGGUUAAGGAACUAGGCAAAAUGGUCCUGUAACUUCGGGAUAAAGGACGCUCUUGUGAAAGAGCCGCAGAUAAUAGGCCCAGGCGACUGUUUACCAAAAACACAUGGCUAUGCUAAUUCGCAAGAAGAUGUAUAUGGCCUGACACCUGCCCGGUGCCGGAAGGUUAAGAGGAGAGCUCAGAGGUAACUCGAAGGUUUGAAUUGAAGCCCCGGUAAACGGCGGCCGUAACUAUAACGGUCCUAAGGUAGCGAAAUUCCUUGUCGGGUAAGUUCCGACCUG
This 1578-nucleotide ribosomal RNA is filed under the name human gut metagenome. RNAcentral describes it as "bacterial LSU rRNA". It matches the Rfam family "Bacterial large subunit ribosomal RNA", at positions 414 to 1990 of the family's 2925-position model. The record is from RNAcentral.